Molecule: long non-coding RNA, 2932 nt
Organism: Quercus robur (English oak)
Lineage: Eukaryota; Viridiplantae; Streptophyta; Magnoliopsida; Fagales; Fagaceae
Exons: 2
Source: RefSeq, a predicted model, not a curated record
AAAAAAAAAAAAAAAGUUACACACUUUUUCAUCUGAGCCCUGGACUCUCUUGCGUUCUCCUCUCUCAAACCGCUUCUCAUCUCACUUGGGUGAUCUCCGUCUCUGUCUCGUGGCUUUACUCACCAGUGAAGGUUUCUCAAAAAGAUCAAAAUCACUUUGAUAUAGUGGAACUGGAAGGUUAGGAUCAAAACCCUAAUUCCAUAAAAUAUGCAAAAUCUCUUAAUUGCCAUGUUUGUUUUGUUUCCCCAAAUUCUUUGUUUGUUUUUUCGGAAGCAACACAGAAAUCGAAGAUGGUAGACAUUGAGAGUUCAUGUAUUAUCUACACUUUAUAGGUUUGAACUGAUUUGCUCUCUUCUUGUAGGUUUUUUCAGAUGGCUAGUCAUGUUUAUUAUAUUUGGAUUUUUUAGGACUGGAGUCAAAUAUGUUGAUCAUGUAGCAAUUAAACUUUGCAAGCUCAAUUUUGUGCUUGGCAAUAACAUUAAUUACCUCUCCAUUACAGAGGAAAUAUAAUUAUGGCUAAUAGGAUGGUUUUCUAAUGGUCUAUUAGGAGUACAUAUUUGUUAGUAUUGUUAUCUUUUUAGUAUAAUGCUUCUCCCCCCCUCUCUUCACAUCGCCUUAAAUCUAGUCACCAUUAUUGUAGCUGAUUUGGCUGUAUAUAGUAUGUUAGAGCCUCAGUUUGUUUUUUCCAAGUACAACUAUAAUUUUAGUCCUUAUUUUUUAGAAGAGUAAAUUUCAUCUUAAAUUGGGUUUGACUUCUAAAUGGGAAUUUAUAUACAUAUAUAUAUAUAUAUAUAUAUUGCUAGGCCAGGGUUGUUCCCUUCAAGGGAAUAUAUAUAGUUCAGUUGGAGAAGUCAUGCUUCAAUGUAAAAUUAUGCUUCAGGCUAUAUUUGGUGCGACGUGCUUUUAUGUUGGUCAAUGAAAUGAAUUUCUUUGGGUAAUGAUUGUUUAUUAAGAACCUACUUUAAUAUUUUGAAUCUUAUUUGAUAUAAAUAGGUUUUUUUGGCUUGGACUUGUUGUCCAUAUAUGCUAUUGAAUUCUUGAUAAUUAGGCAAGUGGCAAAACAAUUGAUGAUUAUGCAUGAAGAAUACUUGCAUAGAAAUCAAUAGGUCUCAGCUGUAAGUUAAAAGAUUUUUUCUCAAAGUAGAGAGGUAACCAUAGUUAUAACCAUCAGACUAAAAUAUUCUUUACUUCAUGUCUUUGCUAUGCAUCUUCUCAUGUCAUAUGAAGCAACAUUUCAUUCUUUAAGGUUUCUUUUCGUUGAAAAUUUAAAAAGUUUUGAUGCUAUGUUAGAAGAUUCAAGUUACAAUGUAAAAUAAGAGGUUGAGACUGAUUAUGUUUUGAAAGUAUUGAAUUUCUUAUGGAAACAAGGUCGAUUGGGUUACACACAUAUUUUGCUGGUAAGUCCAACUUUUUUGAUCUCUUAACAAUUAAUUACUUGUGUUUCUUGAUUAAUUGUCCUAGUUUAGUUGAUGUGUUUUUCAUCAUCCUCUCAUUCUUUUUUCUUUUUUUUUUUCCCUCUCUCUCUCUUUUUGUUGUAUACAAUUUUCAUUAGACGACACUAGUAUUUAUAGAGGUAGAGAGUUAACAUGCACUAAAGUUUCAUAUUGUUCAACCAAUUUUUGGGUUCAUUUUGAUGAUAGUAGGUUCUAAAAUAAAUUUGCUAUAGGCCACCUUUAGUGCAUAAUUUGGUAUAUCCUAUAUAUGUCACUAUGAAACCUGCUUAUUGGAAGACCAAAGUUAAGUUUUACUUUGUGUUUUUGUUCUUGCAAAUAAACUAGUUAUACUUUUUUUUUUUUUUUUAAGAAGAAAAAAGAAAAGGGGGCUAGUUAUAUUUGUCCUCUAUGGCAGGAGAGGUAAGUUUGAUUUUUUAUUCUGCUAUGUUGUUUAUUGUUUGUGUGUGGGCUGCUGUAAUAUCCCAACAAACUGUAGUGUUAAUUAAUGAGGAUUAUGUACUUAUUCAAUCUUUGGAAAUCUGAUUUACUUAUUUUUAUACAUAAUUCCUUGAACUUAUAAGAUUCAGCUUUGAAGAGUGUGAAUAUUAAUUUUCAUGUGCUGAUUGAAGCUAAGUCCUUGUUUUAAGUUUUAAGUUUAACCCUAAAUGACUACACAAAAUUGUAAUUGCAAUGACUGAGUUCUAUGCUGCCUUAUGGCUGCCCAGGGGUAUUUUGGUUACUUAAUUAAGAAUGCUAAUGCAAGUAAGAAAAUCAAAGAAUGGCUUGUUAAUACUCUGCCAUUUGGUUAUUUAGAAAAUGUCAUUUUGGAAAAAAUCAUUUACUUUGCAUUUGGUAGACAAGCUGUAAAAACCUAAUGAAUUAUUAAACCCUUGCAAUUGAAUUGAAUGUGUUUCCUUCGUUAUAUGAUUGAACAUGAACGUGAAUAUAAUGAUUUUUCUUUGGUUAUGUGAAUCAUGUUUUUUGAUAUAUGUAUCUUGUGUUUUGGGAACCUCUUUGAGGUAGGAUUAGAAUUUCCUUUAUUUUGAGAGCUAGGUUUUAGAGAUGUAUGUAUAAGUUUAUGCUAAGGUAGAAUUAAUAGUAAUAAGCUUUGAUAUUUGGUAUAGGUAUUACCAGCGUCCAAGUCUGAGCUCCUUCGACCUUAGGCUCUUGAUUUCUCUGCUUUUAGUCAACAAGUUUUAUUCUGGAGCAAAGGGAGCCUUAGUCGAGUUUUGGGAGGAACUAGUUUUAGCUUUAAAAGAAUUGCCCCUGUUUUGAAAGUUUGAUGCUUAGCUUUGUAGUAUUGUGUAUUUUAGGAUCUAAUGAAAGUUGUGUACUUUAAUAUAUUAAGAGAUGUAUUAUGUGAAAUUCUGAAAUUGAAUGACUGGUGGAUUAAGUUAUCCCUUGGAGUACAAUGUAGAUGCUUUGAAUAUUAAGUGAAAAAUUAUAUAUUAAAGUAAAGAAAUAACAAUGAAAAGAAAGAGGAAAGCUUUUGUUUAAAA